CGCCCUCCCUCUGCACCAAACAAUCAAUAAUGCCCCAUGUUGAUGCAGGAAUCAAAAUAGGACAGUGGGCUACCAAGUGGCCCCCACGCACGCCCGGGUACAAAAAUAGCUGCAUGCGUGGUUCUUGACAAAACUAAGAACAGACAGGAUGACGAGGU
Long non-coding RNA from Neltuma alba, 158 nucleotides. RefSeq lists it as uncharacterized. Lineage: Eukaryota; Viridiplantae; Streptophyta; Magnoliopsida; Fabales; Fabaceae. The record is from RefSeq and is a predicted model, not a curated record. The transcript has 2 exons.